Molecule: unclassified non-coding RNA, 330 nt
Filed under: soil metagenome
Description: partial contains 5.8S ribosomal RNA, internal transcribed spacer 2, and large subunit ribosomal RNA
Rfam family: 5.8S ribosomal RNA (bases 1-120)
Source: RNAcentral
GAUGAAGAACGUAGCGAAAUGCGAUACUUGGUGUGAAUUGCAGAAUCCCGUGAACCAUCGAAUCUUUGAACGCACAUUGCGCCCUCUGGUAUUCCGGGGGGCAUGCCUGUUCGAGCGUCAUUACAACCCUCAAGCUUUGCUUGGUAUUGGACAUUGCCAGUUUCUGGCAGGUCUUAAAAUCAGUGGCGGUGCCAUUUGGCUUCAAGCGUAGUAAUUCUUCUCGCUUUGGAGAUCCAGGUGGUUACUUGCCAAUAACCCCCAAUUUUUUCAGGUUGACCUCGGAUCAGGUAGGGAUACCCGCUGAACUUAAGCAUAUCAAUAAGCGGAGGA